CCAGUUCGGAUCGCAGGCUGCAACCCGCCUGCGUGAAGUUGGAAUCGCUAGUAAUCGCGGAUCAGCAUGCCGCGGUGAAUACGUUCCCGGGCCUUGUACACACCGCCCGUCACACCAUGAGAGUCGGAACACCCGAAGUCCGUAGCCUAACCGCAAGGGGGCGCGGCCGAAGGUGGUUCGAUAAUUGGGUGAAGUCGUAACAAGGUAUC
RNAcentral lists this ribosomal RNA (209 nucleotides) under uncultured bacterium. RNAcentral describes it as "partial 16S ribosomal RNA". It matches the Rfam family "Bacterial small subunit ribosomal RNA", at positions 1288 to 1500 of the family's 1533-position model. The record is from RNAcentral.